This 491-nucleotide ribosomal RNA is filed under the name uncultured bacterium. Its description in RNAcentral is "partial 16S ribosomal RNA". It matches the Rfam family "Bacterial small subunit ribosomal RNA", at positions 29 to 506 of the family's 1533-position model. The record is from RNAcentral.
AGUGAACGCUGGCGGUAGGCCUAACACAUGCAAGUCGAACGGCAGCACAGUAAGAGCUUGCUCUUACGGGUGGCGAGUGGCGGACGGGUGAGGAAUACAUCGGAAUCUACUUUUUCGUGGGGGAUAACGUAGGGAAACUUACGCUAAUACCGCAUACGACCUACGGGUGAAAGCAGGGGAUCUUCGGACCUUGCGCGAUUGAAUGAGCCGAUGUCGGAUUAGCGAGUUGGCGGGGUAAAGGCCCACCAAGGCGACGAUCCGUAGCUGGUCUGAGAGGAUGAUCAGCCACACUGGAACUGAGACACGGUCCAGACUCCUACGGGAGGCAGCAGUGGGGAAUAUUGGACAAUGGGCGCAAGCCUGAUCCAGCCAUACCGCGUGGGUGAAGAAGGCCUUCGGGUUGUAAAGCCCUUUUGUUGGGAAAGAAAAGCAGCAGGUUAAUACCCCGCUGUUCUGACGGUACCCAAAGAAUAAGCACCGGCUACCUUCGU